AAAAGCAUCACCUGAGGAUCUUGCUAAAAUGCAGAUUCUGAUUUGGUGGGGCUUGAAAUUCUGCUUUUCUAACUGAGUGCUGCUGAU
This 87-nucleotide microRNA precursor is filed under the name Marmota monax (woodchuck). The record is from RNAcentral. Lineage: Eukaryota; Metazoa; Chordata; Mammalia; Rodentia; Sciuridae.